RNAcentral lists this ribosomal RNA (682 nucleotides) under uncultured Gammaproteobacteria bacterium. RNAcentral's name for it is "bacterial SSU rRNA". It matches the Rfam family "Bacterial small subunit ribosomal RNA", at positions 63 to 749 of the family's 1533-position model. The record is from RNAcentral. Lineage: Bacteria; Pseudomonadati; Pseudomonadota; Gammaproteobacteria.
CUUGCUGAAUCUCGCGCUGACGAGCGGCGGACGGGUGAGUAACGCGUAGGAAUCUACCUAGUAGAAGGGGAUAGCCCGGGGAAACUCGGAUUAAUACCGUAUACGUCCUUAGGGGGAAAGAGGGCUUAGCUUUGAUGCUCUCGCUAUUAGAUGAGCCUGCGUAAGAUUAGCUCGUUGGUGAGGUAAAGGCUCACCAAGGCUACGAUCUUUAGCUGGUCUGAGAGGACGAUCAGCCACAUUGGGACUGAGACACGGCCCAGACUCCUACGGGAGGCAGCAGUGGGGAAUAUUGGACAAUGGGCGCAAGCCUGAUCCAGCCAUACCGCGUGUGUGAAGAAGGCCUUCGGGUUGUAAAGCACUUUAAGUAAGGAGGAAAAGUAUAUUGUUAAUACCAAUGUACCGUGACAUUACUUACAGAAUAAGGACCGGCUAAUUCCGUGCCAGCAGCCGCGGUAAUACGGAAGGUCCAAGCGUUAAUCGGAAUUACUGGGCGUAAAGCGCGCGUAGGUGGUUUAUUAAGUUGGGUGUGAAAGCCCCGGGCUCAACCUGGGAACUGCAUCCAAAACUGAUUCACUAGAGUACGAAAGAGGGAGGUAGAAUUCACAGUGUAGCGGUGGAAUGCGUAGAUAUUGUGAAGAAUACCAAUGGCGAAGGCAGCCUCCUGGUUCUGUACUGACACUGA